Non-coding RNA from Camellia sinensis, 641 nucleotides. The record is from RefSeq and is a predicted model, not a curated record. Lineage: Eukaryota; Viridiplantae; Streptophyta; Magnoliopsida; Ericales; Theaceae.
GUUUGACGGAAUCAUUCGAACCAUAAGCCAUGCUAUCGAGACCCAGCAUAACAAUGACAUCUUAGUCUAUUGGUUGUCCAAUUCCUCAUCUCUUCUGCUGCUACUCCAGCGUACAUUGAAAGCAAGUGGUGCCGCUAGAAUGGGCGCCGUCGAUUAUCCUUGGCUACUCUGUUUGGAAGGAUGACACAGAGUUUCCGAGGAACUCCACAAGGAGUUAAUCUUUCCUUUGUAAAUGAUGGCCUGACUGGUGGAGCAGAAGCUUUACACCAAGUUGAAGCCAAAUACCCAGCUUUGCUUUUCAAGCAGCAACUUACAGCAUUUGUAGAAAAGAUUUAUGGAAUGAUUUGAGAUAGCCUUAAGAAAGAGAUUUCUCCAUUGCUUGGGUUGUGCAUCCAGGUAAUUGAAUCUGUUGGGUAAUAUGAGUCAUUCAUCUGCCCAGGUAAGAAAUACUUCUUUACAUAUUUUUGGUCAAUUCUCAGAUCAUGUCAUUGUAGUUAAUAUACAUUAAUGGAUCAAAUUGAUGGUUCUCAUCACACACAUACUCAUUUAGUGUAUGCUAAUUCUUGAAAUGGUGUGUGGCCUUGCUACAUUCGGGGAGGUUUCUUCUAUAACAAAUAUAUGAUGCACAUCAGCAAUCAUUG